GACCCCCUGGCCGAAUUGGCUCAUUACAUAAGUCUUGGUUUAUUACCAUUCAUUUCGCAUCAAAUGGAUAACUGUGGAAAAUCUAGAGCUAAUACAUGCCGCGAAACUUCGACUUGCGAAGGAGUGCUUUUAUUAGAUCAAAGCCAAUGGCCCACUUGUGGGUCUUAUACUGUGCUGAUUCUGAAUAAAGUAAGCUGAUUGCAUUGCCAUUGAGUAGGUGACGUAUCUUUCAAGUGUCUUCCCUAUCAACUUUCGUUGGUACUUUAUAUGACUACCAUGGUCGUAACGGGUGACGGGGAAUCAGGGUUCGAUUCCGGAGAGAGAGCAUGAGAAACGGCUGUCACAUCCAAGGAAGGCAGCAGGCGCGCAAAUUACCCAAUCCUAGAUCGGGGAGGUAGUGACGAAAAAUAACGAUGCCGUGAUCUUAGGAUUCGGCAAUUGGAAUGAGAACAAUCAAAAUCCUUUAUCGAGGAUCAAUUGGAGGGCAAGUUCUGGUGCCAGCAGCCGCGGUAAUUCCAGCUCGAAUAGCGUAUAUUAAAUUUGCUGCGGUUAAAAAGCUCGUAGUUGGUUGUCAGGAGAUGAACUAGGGGCUACCAAAAUUGUGUAGUCAUACCCGAGAUUCGCUCCUUUAAAUACCACUCCUAUGUGACGCACUUUGAUGUGUGCUGCGUAUGGAUGGUAUGAUACUACUUUGAGAAAAUUAGCGUGCUCAACGCAGGCGAUUCGCUUGUAUACUGUUGCAUGGAAAUAAUGAGAAAGGACCUCGGUUCUGUUUCGUUGGUUUCCGGAAGCUGAGGUAAUGAUUGAUAGGGACAACCGGGGGGCAUUCGUAUUGUGUGUUAGAGGUGAAAAUUCUGUGAUCACCGCAGACGAACACUGCGAAGCAAUUUGCCAAGAAUGUUUUUUCCAUUUAAUUCAAGGAACCGA
This 927-nucleotide ribosomal RNA is filed under the name Pallisentis sp. 5 NKG-2016. RNAcentral's name for it is "bacterial SSU rRNA". It matches the Rfam family "Eukaryotic small subunit ribosomal RNA", at positions 77 to 987 of the family's 1831-position model. Lineage: Eukaryota; Metazoa; Acanthocephala; Eoacanthocephala; Gyracanthocephala; Quadrigyridae. The record is from RNAcentral.